Molecule: long non-coding RNA, 201 nt
Filed under: Bos taurus (domestic cattle)
Lineage: Eukaryota; Metazoa; Chordata; Mammalia; Artiodactyla; Bovidae
Description: long non-coding RNA NONBTAT000475
Source: RNAcentral
AUUAUUUGUGAAGGUAUUGCCUACAGAAUAUAUUAAAUAGCAGAUUCCACUAAUUCAUAGAGAUUGGUUUUCUCAUUCACAGUUACUUUUUUUCACCCUCCUUUUCAGGAAAGCAUUGCUUGCCUAAAGUAAGGUUUACUUGUGCUAACUUACAAAUUAGAAGGAAGGAGCUGGAACUAAAUAAAAUGUUAAGUUCUGAUG